CCUCCCCUGCCCCCUCAGCCUGCGGGCAGCAGAAGGCGGCGGCCAGCCUACUCCUGCCCCUCGGCCGGACGAACCGCGGCUGCCGCGCCCGUCACCUCUGCACCUGCCUGGCUGAGGUGAGAUGCCUGGCGCGCACGAAAAAUCUGAAAUUUGUAACAGAAAUGGCCACAUAAGGACAAUUCAGAUGAAGAGCAGGAGGGCCGACAUCGCGCACUUGGGUCUUUCCUGGAAAGACAGCCGCGCUCUGGGAGAAGCCUAGUCCUCCGGCUUGUCCCCGGCCCGCCCCAAAGGUCGCUGGGAGCUCGGUGAGGACGUGGCGGUCCCUUUGCUCAUUUUACUCCGGAGGCAGGUUCCGCAGAAAGAGCUCUCAAUCUCGGCCGCUGGGCUCCAGGAUAAUCUCCUGGCGAAA
This 409-nucleotide long non-coding RNA is filed under the name Pongo abelii (Sumatran orangutan). Its description in RNAcentral is "lincRNA". The record is from RNAcentral. Lineage: Eukaryota; Metazoa; Chordata; Mammalia; Primates; Hominidae.